RNAcentral lists this antisense RNA (69 nucleotides) under Streptomyces sp. F-1. RNAcentral's name for it is "ASpks TB sRNA". It matches the Rfam family "ASpks TB sRNA". Lineage: Bacteria; Bacillati; Actinomycetota; Actinomycetes; Kitasatosporales; Streptomycetaceae. The record is from Rfam by way of RNAcentral.
CUUCAACGAGCCGAGCAGCAGCGGCCGUUCGCGGUCCUGGCCGUAGGUCGCGAGGAGCGCCUGCGCCUC